AAAAUGUGGAAUGACUUGUACGAUUGCAACCACAAUAAAAAAGUGCUAAAC
RNAcentral lists this non-coding RNA (51 nucleotides) under fish gut metagenome. The record is from RNAcentral.